CAAAAUCUGGGUAACGUGUGCGCGUUACUAAAUGCAUGAAAACGGUAUUUGGGAAAACAAGUAGAACUGACAAUUUCCAAACAUCGAUUUUAUUUAUGUAAGUGAAAUGAGCUCAAUGGACAUACAUGUGAAUCCGUUUUCAACCUAAUUUAGAUAGAAACCACAGCAACAACUAGAUAUUUGAAUGGAACACGUAAGGACAAAAAAGUGGAUGAUGCCUUUGGACGUCAAUUUGUACAGAAACAGAUUUUAACUGAAACUAAACAUUUUAUAUUUAGCAUUCUUGAAAUUACAUGAUUGGACUUCAUUGGACAAUUUAAGAUAAUUGCAGUGUAAUUUUUACUUUUACAUGACAGAUUUGCACAGGAGCAAGAUUACAGACAACCUCUGUAAUCUUACAAAUCGUAGAGGUCACCAGGAAUUACUGGUGACGUGCAAAUAGGGCUUUAGAUUGUUGAUCACGGUUUGGGUUCUCAGUUAUCCCGGGGAGGGAAGUUGAUGCACGGACUUUUUAAAUAUAUGGACAUAGUCUUCGACGUCAACAAUAACAUUCUGGAGACAGUAAGCAGAGAGCAACCUGAGAAGGAACCAACAAAACAAGUUUUUUAAAUAAAAUCUAAAUGGGUUGGAUAUGUAAAAGGAAAUAUAUACAGUUGUUGUUGAUGGGGAAACUAGCUACAGAAACCAACACAGGUUGUAAACACAGUUAUUUCUGCAGAAAAUUUCAUUUCAUAGCAUCUUUGUCCUGAAAAAACAUAUUGAAUUGGAGGCCGUCCUAUGGUUACUCAUUCUGACUAAUCAUGAUGACGCUUCACAUACUUUUACACCAUUAUUAAAACUACCUGCAUCCAUUGCGUCUCCAGUACAUCAUCAGAAACUAAAUCCACCACAAUCAAAACCAUCAAAAUCAGAGUCUGCCACUUCAAAGUCAAAGCUGUUACAGUGAGCGGAGUCGAGUGCGGGCCCUGCGCCGUUGUACACUCCUGUUGCUCCCAUGCCAGGGAAAUCCGUGUUGAGUGGCAGGUCAGGAGCUUUGGCUUCCAGAUUAGGGAGCGAGCAUGCGCCCAGGUAACCCAGAGCAGAGGAGGCAGCGGCACCGCCCAUCAGCAGAUAAACCGCCUUCACUGCGUCGGCAUUACCGAUGGUGCCGUGGCGCAGACACCCUGCUGGGUGUGCACCACCUUUGUAUUGCUUCGUGAGGGGAGAAUUCCGGCCUGAAAAACAGGUUACUUAACAUUUUACCCUGAUCACUUAUGAAAAAAACCGCCUACCCGCCUAACCCACCUUUCUCCCUGAGGGAAGCACAAGCCGUCGGCCCCGGGGAGUCUGCUUCUGCGUUGCAGAGCGGUGGAGUCGGUGGGUCCUUGUCCAGGAUUUGCUCAGGCACCAGAUCUUGGAGUUUAAUGUGUGGGGGUAGCAGCCGAUGUCGUUUACAUGGACUGAUAGGUGACGAGAGGCUCUACGGGGGAUGAAAUAGCGUGACUGAAGAGGACGUCGAAUAGAAUUAGGGGCGGUCAGAUGGUUGGUGGAUCCAGGGGGAUGUUGGAUGUGGGGCUGGACCAAGCAGACGAUGUGUAGACGAUAGCAUCAUCAUAAAAUAAUCCACUGAGAAGUGCAGAAGAAGAGAGCCAGUCAUUUUGGACCACAAAAUGUCACCACGGCGGCGUAGAUGAUUGCUGGGUGAAGAAGAGGAUCCACUCAC
Long non-coding RNA from Gasterosteus aculeatus aculeatus (three-spined stickleback), 1702 nucleotides. NCBI's taxonomy places the organism in Eukaryota, Metazoa, Chordata, Actinopteri, Perciformes, Gasterosteidae. The record is from Ensembl.